Molecule: long non-coding RNA, 374 nt
Organism: Chiroxiphia lanceolata (lance-tailed manakin)
Lineage: Eukaryota; Metazoa; Chordata; Aves; Passeriformes; Pipridae
Exons: 3
Source: RefSeq, a predicted model, not a curated record
CACCCCACCAGCAACAGACUCCAGCGUUUCCACUGGCUUCUGCCCACCAAAUGCCAGUCCUCCUAAGGAGGAUGUGCCCUGAAAGAGCAUAUUGUGCAACUCACUUCACUGGGACCACAGAGCUCCAAAUUGAUGAGACAGGCAUGAACAAGGAAAUGAGGACAAGAGCAACCCCACUGUGUUUGUUUCAAGCCCUGCUAAAAAGUGACCUAGAACUGCAGAUUCCUUUGGUCCCAGGAAAGAUGUUCCAGUGAACAAGAGCCUACAAUGAGACAAUCAGGGUUCAGUUUUGCUUGUCUUCACCAGACAACUAAAGGGACAGACACCGGGCAGUCUUUUAUUUUAUGUAUCACCUCCUUGUCUAUAUAAAUUAA